RNAcentral lists this long non-coding RNA (7245 nucleotides) under Musa acuminata (dwarf banana). RNAcentral's name for it is "long non-coding RNA (MACU_LNC000170)". The record is from RNAcentral. Lineage: Eukaryota; Viridiplantae; Streptophyta; Magnoliopsida; Zingiberales; Musaceae.
CUUCCAAGCAACAACCCAAGAGCCUUACAAUGUUCUUGUGAUUGAUCUGAGAAAGAAUAAUCAUCUCCCGUACGAAUUCUUCACUUUGGUCCUCGGUGACUACCUUAGACCUCUUGAUGGCCACUUCCCUGCCAUCGUCUAGGUAUCCUUUGUAAACGGUGCCAUGGCCUCCUCGCCCAAGUUCUCGACUCUUGUCGAAAUUAUCUGUUGCUUUCUCUAUAUCCUCUUUGGUGUAUAUUUUGACAGUAUCAAUUUGCUUUGAUCUGAUUUCUUCGUAUAACCUCAAACCACCAUUUUGUUGGAAGAAUUUAUCUUUUUCUCUAAGAAGCUUCCUUCUUUGAAACGUUAAGAUUACGCAGAAGAUACAAGUAAUGAACGAAACAAGCCCAACACAACUGCCUGCACAAAGGGAUGAGUUUCAUAUCAAUUAUUUUGCAAACUCUUUCGGAGAUCGAAUUCCAAGUUUCCAAAAUAGUAGAUUGUUACUGACGAGGCCUAUUAAUGAAGAUCAAAAGGAUAAGAAAUUUCAAGCUUUUUUUAAAGUAGGAUGACUUGAUCGAAAUAAAAACUCGAAUCCGAAUAGAUUAUUUUUUUCUUCUGAUUCAAGUUUUAAGAGAAGGUUUAAGCUAAUACGGAAGGAAGGAUGAGAACUUGUACCUAUAACAAUCUUCGUUGAUGUCGGAAUUCCGUGAUCUUGGACGCAUGGUUCCGAUUUAGGGUCCUUGCUGCUGUGACCUUUUGGGCAAGAGCACCUGUAGUUGCCUGCUGUGUUGCUGCACGUUCCAUGACAUGGAUACUGCGUUGGUAAGCUGCACUCGUCGAUAUCUAAGGAUUGUCAAAGAAUCACGAGGGAAAAUUGUAAGACCACAUACAACAAUCGAAAAUAGGAGAGUUGGGGGAGAGAUGCAUGCUGACCUUUGCAUCCAUCUUGGAGGUAAGGAUUGCCAUGGAAACCUGUGGAGCAAUUGCAGAUAUAGCCAUCUAAACUGGUGGAGUCGAAACAUUUACUGUUGGUGCUGCGGCAUGCAUAUGAAGAAGGGUUUCUCUUAGCCUCCGCGCAGGUCUGUCUGCCGGCUACCCAGUCCAGCACGAGUGGGACGCCGUCCUUGUACUUGUCAUAAAAGUUGUAGUUGCGGAGGUAGGACUCGUCGAAGGCGAACCCGUCCUGGUCGGCAACGAAGGUAAAAGUGCAGGGGAUGUAGUCCCUGUAGGAUGAAGAAACAUUAAUGAAAUAGGCCAUCCCGGUCGUAAAAUUUUCCAGCUUCUCCGGGAUGGUGGUCUGGCAGCAGCCGGUGCCAGAGCACGAUCCGCUUGUGAUGUUUGCCCCUCCGAAGCAGAAGGAGGCGCACCCGGUUCCUAAUGAAUAGUUGUCCCCGCCUAUGACGAUGCCAAUGACGUUGCAGCCCAUGGUCGUGAACCUGUUCUUGGUGCUGGAUACCCAAAAUGGUUUGUCGCCAAGGUCUAGAGUAGGUCUUCGACCAGCCACCCAGUCGUUGGUACUGUUGAAACAAUCCCAGCUAACGUAAUUCAGGAUGCGUGCUUGGCCCUGCGGCAAGAUUAUCUCCUCAACUGUAAUGUUCCUCUCGCGGCCGACCAAGAAAGCUCUGGGAGUCGCAGAGCCGUUACCGACUUCGCAAGUGACCUCGAAGCCUUCCCUGAAACACCCAUCGCCGAUGCCGAAGGGGUACGGGAUGCUAAUACCGCCGCAUGUCUCAUUGCAACGGGGUGACACCACGUUCGGCGACGGUGGCGCCGAUGCUGCUGCAGUCGUUGCUGCUUGCAGCAGCGUCAACAACAACAACAGCUGAAACGCGAACAGUGGCAGCGUGGAUCCCAUUGCUUAUGCUUGCUUGAAAUUGAUGGUACCCUUCAGGCUUCCAUCAGAUUUAUAAGCCAACAGAUGGCGUAGCGUGCUUAAUUCCUUCUAAAAUCGAGUGGCAUAUAAUAAUUGCUUGAUCCAAUACUCGUUCUGCAGCCCAAGUGAAGACUUAUCAAGACGAAGCCAUGACACGGCAAAUACAAGAAGACCCUGUCGCUUGGAAAACUGGACAGUGACUUGUACAGAUCCCGUCUAAGUCUUCUUUUAAGAUUACAGAAAGUUGGAGCUGUGAUCGGUACAGGAGGCCUCCUCGCAGUUUGACUCUGGAAUCCACACCCAACCGAAGACUUGCUUGCUUAAUCCAAAUACAAAUAAGUAACGCCAAUUUUUCAGUAACAGCCCCCCUUCCUCUCUCUCUCUCUCUCUCUCUCUCUCUCUCUCUGUACACGAGGCGCUUCCGGCGUCAUUUGGCCGCUGAUUCCCUACGUGACUUGGGAUCAACGGUUGAAUAGUGAAGUACAAGGAGAGCAGCGACUGCGUGUUUGGAACUAAAUCUAGCAGCUUAUGGAGGGCUCGGUCUUUCUCCUGGUUUGGAUUUGUGUUCUUUCUUUAUGCCGAAAGGAAUCAGUUUGGAUAUGCAUGGGAUGUAAGCUUCUUGUUAUUUUUGUCUUGAUGUCAGCUUCAAGAUAAGAGCUGUAGAGGAGAAGAAUAGAGAAACUUCAAAUUAAUUUUUUUUUUAUUGAACAUCAUUGCUUAUAAUUUAACGUACCGUUGAAUAUUUAGAUUUUACUUAUUUAUUUUAUUUGGCUCUACCUCAUUUCCCCUUCCUUUUUCUUAUUAUUUGUAGAGUAUAAUAUUACAUUAGCAAUCUAUUUCCACUACAUUUGACUUCAACUACCACAAAAAACCUAUCUUAGAUGAGACUCUUAAAUCAAUAUCUUAUCUAACCAUAAAGUUUAAGAAAAUAUUCCAAUACUCCUUUCAAACUAGAGUUUUACAUAGAAAAAGAAAUAUAUGUAUUACAAUCCAUCAUACCAAUAGUCAAUGAUAAGAAGAAGGUACUUUAAGUGCCCUUAGAUUUUGUUUUAAUUAUGGCAACCUAAAACAUCAAUAGAGUGGGCCACAUGAUCGGUAUGAUGUCACGAUAGUAAUGUUCAAUGGUUCAGACGAUUCAUCACACUCAGACAACCUUAAUUAUUCUAUAAAUAAACUCCGGCUUAUUUAUGAUGGACAGACACUAUAGAAUCAUAUAUAAAAAAGCUCUUGAAACCCUAUGAAUUCUACAUUACUGUUCCCCAGCAUUACUAACUUAAAGCAUAUGCACGCCCUCCAUUUACAGACGAGGUCAGACUUGUCGAAGGAGAACCCUAAUGAAGUCAUAGGUGCGGGGGGUGUAGUCAUCGUAGGAAGAUAGAUCGACGAAAUAGGCCGACCAGGUCGUCAAAUAAUAGUCCGGUUUCGCCAGGAUGGUUGUCUUUUAGCAGCCGGUGCCAUGGCAGUGAAGAAUAUUUAUUGAAGAAAUGAAAAAUGCUUCAAUACAAGAAGAAGGAUUUCCCUCAACAGAAUAGAGGAUUUUUCUCAACAGAAUAGAGAGAUUUAUCUUAAAUAAUGGUUUACGAGCGAUGUAAAUAAUAGUUUACGAGCAAGAGGCUUUGUGAGGAUUAGUCACGGAGCCUCUUAGGAAUUUGGCUGCAGUGACGUUGGUCGCUGGCCGAAGGCAAGAGCGAAGCUUGCUUUUCUCAACAACGUCGAUUGCCUGGCCGAAGACAAGAGCAAAGCUUCGCUUUUUUCACUGCUCUAAUACCAUGAAAAAAAUAAUAGAAGAUAAGAACAAUUAUUGAAGAAGUGAAGAAUAUUUAUUGAAGAAAUAAAAAAUGCUUCAAUACAUUAAUAUUUCCCUCUCCUAUUUAUAGAGAUUGAGGAAGGAUAACGGUUUAAAUGAUCACGCGAUGUCAUUCAGGAUAUGUCCUUAUCUGUAAUGUUCCUCUUGCCGCCGCCCAAGAAAGCUCUGGGAGUUGCAGAGCCGUUAACCACAUCGCAAGUGACCUCGAAGCCUUCCCUGAAACACCCAUCGCCGAUGCCGAAGGGGUACGGGAUGCUAAUAACGCAGCAUGUCUCUUUGCAAUGUGGUAACAACUCGUUGGAAGCUGAAGCUGUGAUUGGUGUAGACCUUUCCGAAGACCCUAUGAAGUCUACAUCAUGACUCUUCCCCAGCAUUGCUAACUUAAAGCAUAUGCACGCCCUGCAUUUUUAUAUGAUCCCUGCCGAACCCUCACGCUCUCUUAUACCAAACUUAUGAUAGACUCAAAUGCAAACAAGGUUGACUUCCACAGACUGACAAUCGAACAAACAGGGAUUGUUAUUUGUUCCACAUCAAGUAGUGCUAUUUGUUCUAUUCCAACAACAACAGGUAGUGCAUUGAUCUCAUUUAUUAGAACCAAAAUGUUGGAUAACAUGUAUGUAUAAAUGUGGUUUACUUCCAUGCUAUUGAAUUUUGGAGUAAGAGAUGCCAAAUCUAUAUAUAUAUAUAUAAAUACUUGCCAAAGAUUGUUCCUAUUGAUGUUAACAUAUGUUUUUAAAUUCAUUAAUUAACUAUAAUUUUCUAUUAAAACCACAAAUUUUUCUUAUUUUCAAAUAUUUUAUUUUAUUGAUAAAUCCUAUGCAUACCUUUUAAAAAUUUUAUUAUAUGAAAAAUAUAAGUACUAAUAUGGAAUUAAUGCCCUGGCCGAUAACUCAACAACACGUAGGUGAUAAAUGAUAGACCCAUCGAUAGUUCGAGACUAUAUAUAUAAUGUGUGGCCGACAUCUUGACACCACAAAGGUGGCAAGCGUCAACACCAUGUUGACGACAAGUGGUUGACAUGCCGACAACCUAAGGUCACGUAGACAACACACGAUGGACACCUCGACAUUUGGACUAAGUUUGAAUAAUCAAUGUGUGUCUUGCAUUUGGCGCAUCAUGACACCAAGACCCUAAUUAUAUUUGAUGAUCUUGAAAGUAAUGAUCCUUAGAGUCCAUCGUAAAAGGGACUCCAUAAAAGGAACUCUCUUCAAGUGCUCAUCCAAACUAUCCGAGUCCAAAAUUGACUUGAGUAUCAGAGGAGCAUUCGUCAAGAAUAAUCUCGAUGUAAUUUUAUAAGUUUGACACCUAUAGAGUCAGUAAUAACUAGAAUUUAUGAUGAGACUAACAUGGGAAGGAGCAUCGGCUUUGAAUCCAUUUUAGAUCAAACAAUUAAAAAUUACACUAAUAGUUUGACGCUAGAAGGAAGGUUUGAGAUGUUUAAGAAAAACUUUACUACAUCAUCUCAACUAAAUCUUGAAGAUCCAAACCCGACUGAACUGAUCGAUAGUCAAACCUACUGCACCCGCCUUUCAAAUGCUCGAACCAUUGGUCUUCCAUCAAUUGUUCUACGAUUCGGUGGCUAUAUAUAUAUAAUUUUUUUUAUAAAAAUUAAAAACAAAAUUUAUUAUAUGAAAUGACGUAUAUAUUGCUCACACAUGGAUUCAAGUUUGAAAUCUAUUACAUGUACAAUAAUGUACUAAUCAACUCAGAUAUUUCAACAAAAAAUAAAAGAAUUAAUUAUAUUGCUUACUGUAAUAAGUAUGUAAAUAAUUUAAGAGAAUAUGUUAUUUAUAUAACAUGUGAGAUUUUUAAGGGGUUUGGAAAAAUUAUAGAUCAUACUAUUGUAUUUUACUCGUAUUGUAACAAUUUUUUUAUUUUUUUCAAACGAAAUUGGUCACCCCAAUUCUCUUUUUUUUGUAAAAAAAAACUCGAUCACCCUCUUUUAAAUAAAAAAGAGAGAAUAAAAAAUUGAUACAGUCAAAUCAAAUUGGCAAUUGAGAUUGAAAGCGGAAGUGUGAUGUAUGGUUUUUUGAGGAACCUUCGCCACCCAUAUAAAUAGGUAUUCAGAUUAUGCAUACCAAUGGACGUGAGGUUAACUUGGGAUCAACCGUUGAAUAGUCAACGACAAGGAUAGCCACUUCAAACUAAAUCUCUUGGCUUCAUUUACCUCUACAUUUAUCUCCUCCUCUCUUCUUCUUGUUAUUUCUAAAUUAGUAUUUCAUGAGCCAUCUAUUUUCACUACUUUGAUUUCAACUACCACAAAUAAUCUUAUCUUAAAUAGGACUCUUAAAUCAAUAUCAGAUCUAAUCAUAAAGCUUAAGUUAAUAUUCCAAUACUUCCUUUAAACUCGAGUUUUACAUAGAAAAAGAAAUACAAAUUACAAUACUGAGAGUUACAAUCCAUUAUAAAUUUAUUUAUCAUGCUUGUAAUAGAAGUAACAUAAGUUACAAAACAAGUAACCAAGAACAGUCUGUUCUGCUAGUUCGAUUUUAACAUAGAGAGAGAACAUAGUUUCUUUAUCUGCUUCAUCUUCCAGCUUUUACAUCAAAUCCCAAUUUGUUCUCUAAACUGUGGUACCCGACAGAAUCCAAGGUAGAGCUCAUAGAUGAUUCACCAAGCAAUGCUUCACAUUCCUCGGGUGCAUGGUGUGUUGAAGAGACCUGUAGGAACCCUCCUAACAUAUGCAGUUUCUCAGCCACUUCUCUCAUCGUAGGCCUUUCAUCCCCAUUCAUGUUCAAACAUUCCUUUGCAAGCUCGGCAAUUUCGUGGAUGACAUCCAUGUUUUCUUUUCCCAUGAUUUGAUCAUCCAAUAUCUCUUCAAGUCGGCUGUCUUUCAUUGCUUCGAUGAAGCUUGAAGCAAGAGCUUUUCCUUGAUUGCUCCCAUCAUAAUAAAUUGCCUUUUUCCUUGUGACGAGCUCCACCAAAACUACUCCAAAGCUAUAGACAUCACUCUUUGCUGUCAGUUGACGGACUAGCAAGUACUCUGGGUCCAAAUAACCAAGAGUUCCCUGGACCAUCGUUAUGAAUUGGGUUUCGUCUAUAGAUAUCAUCCUCGAUGCACCAAAAUCCGAUACCUUUGGCACGUAGUUAUGAUCUAGAAGUAUAUUGAGCGACUUCACAUCUCCAUGAACGAUCGGAGGGGAUGCUGAUGAAUGCAAGUAAGCGAGUGCUUCUGCAGAUUCUCUGGCUAUUCGUAGACGAGUAGUCAAGGGAAUUAGUUUCUCAUUAUUGUCAUGGAUGAAGUCGAAGAGGGUUCCAUUGGGUAUGAACUCAUAAACCAACAUGGGAAUUUCGACUUCCAAGCAACAACCCAAGAGCCUUACAAUAUUCUUGUGAUUGAUCUGAGAAAGAAUAAUCAUCUCCCGUACGAAUUCUUCACUUUGGUCCUCGGUGACUACCUUAGACCUCUUGAUGGCCACUUCCCUACCAUCGUCUAGGUAUCCUUUGUAAACGGUGCCAUGGCCUCCUCGCCCAAGUUCUCGACUCUUAUCGAAAUUAUCCGUUGCCUUCUCUAGAUCCUCUUUAGUGUAUAUUUUGACAGUGUCGAUUUUCUUUGAUCUGAUUUCUUCAUAUAACCUCAAGC